GAGUUUGAUCCUGGCUCAGGACGAACGCUGGCGGCGUGCUUAACACAUGCAAGUCGCGGGGGGUGAGCAAUCACUCACCGGCGAACGGGUGCGUAACACGUGAGCGACCUGCCCACUUGUGGGGUAUAGCCGGCCCAACGGCCGGGUAAUCCCGCAUACGCUUCUCUGGCUGCAUGGCUGGAGGAGGAAAGCCGCAAGGCGCAAGUGGAGGGGCUCGCGGCCUAUCAGCUUGUUGGCGGGGUAACGGCCCACCAAGGCGAUGACGGGUAGCUGGUCUGAGAGGAUGGCCAGCCACAUUGGGACUGAGAUACGGCCCAGACUCCUACGGGAGGCAGCAGUGGGGAAUCUUGCGCAAUGGUCGAAAGACUGACGCAGCGACGCCGCGUGCGGGAGGAAGCCCUUCGGGGUGUAAACCGCUGUUACUCGGGACGAACCUCCUGUUUCGACAGGAUUGACGGUACCGGGGGAGGAAGCACCGGCUAACUCUGUGCCAGCAGCCGCGGUAAUACAGAGGGUGCGAGCGUUGUCCGGAAUCACUGGGCGUAAAGGGCGCGUAGGCGGCUUCUCAAGCGUGUGGUGAAAGCUCGGGGCUUAACUCCGAGUCUGCCGUGCGAACUGGGAGGCUUGAGUCUGGUAGAGGUCGAUGGAAUUCCGGGUGUAGCGGUGGAAUGCGUAGAGAUCCGGAAGAACACCGGUGGCGAAGGCGGUCGACUGGGCCAGUACUGACGCUGAGGCGCGACAGCGUGGGGAGCAAACAGGAUUAGAUACCCUGGUAGUCCACGCCGUAAACGAUGGGCACUAGAUCCUUGGGGGAGCGACCCCUUGAGGGUCGGCGCUAACGCAUUAAGUGCCCCGCCUGGGGAGUACGGCCGCAAGGCUGAAACUCAAAGGAAUUGACGGGGGCCCGCACAAGCGGUGGAGCAUGUGGUUUAAUUCGACGCAACGCGAAGAACCUUACCUGGGCUAGACAACGGCGGACCAUCCUAGAAAUAGGAUCUUCCCUUCGGGGACUGCCGGUUCAGGUGCUGCAUGGCUGUCGUCAGCUCGUGCCGUGAGGUGUUGGGUUAAGUCCCGCAACGAGCGCAACCCUUGCCCUUAGUUGCCACCAUUCAGUUGGGCACUCUAGGGGGACUGCCGGCGUUAAGCCGGAGGAAGGUGGGGACGACGUCAAGUCAUCAUGGCCCUUAUGUCCAGGGCCACACACGUGCUACAAUGGACGGUACAAAGGGUCGCAAACCCGCGAGGGGGAGCCAAUCCCAAAAAGCCGUUCUCAGUUCGGAUUGGAGUCUGCAACUCGACUCCAUGAAGCUGGAAUCGCUAGUAAUCGCGGAUCAGAACGCCGCGGUGAAUACGUUCCCGGGCCUUGUACACACCGCCCGUCACACCAUGGAAGUCAGUUGUACCGGAAGUCGGUGAGUUAACCCGCAAGGGGGACAGCCGCCUAUGGUAUGACUGGUGACUGGGGUGAAGUCGUAACAAGGUAACC
RNAcentral lists this ribosomal RNA (1486 nucleotides) under uncultured Gemmatimonadota bacterium. RNAcentral's name for it is "bacterial SSU rRNA". It matches the Rfam family "Bacterial small subunit ribosomal RNA". The record is from RNAcentral. Lineage: Bacteria; Pseudomonadati; Gemmatimonadota.